RNAcentral lists this ribosomal RNA (510 nucleotides) under uncultured bacterium. RNAcentral describes it as "partial 16S ribosomal RNA". It matches the Rfam family "Bacterial small subunit ribosomal RNA", at positions 28 to 507 of the family's 1533-position model. The record is from RNAcentral.
GACGAGCGCUGGCGGCGUGCUUAACACAUGCAAGUCGAACGAAGAGCGAUGGAAGCUUGCUUCUAUCAAUCUUAGUGGCGAACGGGUGAGUAACGCGUAAUCAACCUGCCCUUCAGAGGGGGACAACAGUUGGAAACGACUUCUAAUACCGCAUACGAUCUAAUCUCGGCAUCGAGGAUAGAUGAAAGGUGGUCUCUACAUGUAAGCUAUCACUGAAGGAGGGGAUUGCGGCUGAUUAGCUAGGUGGAGGGGGAACGGCCUACCAAGGCGAUGAUCAGUAGGCGGUCUGGGAGGAUGAACGGCCACAUUGGGACUGAGACACGGCUCAGACUCCUACGGGAGGCAGCAGUGGGGAAUCUUCCGCAAUGGACGAAAGUCUGACGGAGCAACGCCGCGGGAGUGAUGACGGCCUUCGGGUUGUAAAGCUCUGUUAAUCGGGACGAAAGGCCUUCUUGCGAAUAGUGAGAAGUAUUGACGGUACCGGAAUAGAAAGCCACGGCUAACUACGUG